RNAcentral lists this ribosomal RNA (407 nucleotides) under uncultured bacterium. RNAcentral's name for it is "partial 16S ribosomal RNA". It matches the Rfam family "Bacterial small subunit ribosomal RNA", at positions 28 to 526 of the family's 1533-position model. The record is from RNAcentral.
GACGAACGCUGGCGGCGUGCCUAAUACAUGCAAGUAGGACGCAGUUGCGAACGGGUGAGUAACGCGUAGGUAACUGCCUAUUAGAGGGGGAUAACUAUUGGAAACGAUAGCUAAUACCGCCUACUAGUAGAUGGACCUGCGUUGUAUUAGCUAGUAGGUAGGGUAAUGGCCUACCUAGGCAACGAUACAUAGCCGACCUGAUGGGGUGAUCGGCCAAACUGGGACUGAGACACGGCCCAGACUCCUACGGGAGGCAGCAGUAGGGAAUCUUCGCCCAUGGGGCGAAAGCUGACCGAGGAACGCCCCGUGAGUGAAGAAGGGUUUCGGGUCGUAAAGCUAUGUUGUUAAGGAAGCGGUACUUAACCAGAAAGGGACGGCUAACUACGUGCCAGCAGCCGCGGUAAUUC